Molecule: non-coding RNA, 26 nt
Filed under: Mus musculus (house mouse)
Lineage: Eukaryota; Metazoa; Chordata; Mammalia; Rodentia; Muridae
Source: RNAcentral
UGAGAAAAUGGGACUCAUCUCUGAAG